GGACUACACGGGUUUCUAAUCCUGUUUGCUACCCACGCUUUCGUGUCUCAGUGUCAGUAAUGGUCCAGAAAGCUGUCUACACCACAGGUGUUCCUCCUGAUAUCUACGCAUUUCACCGCUACACCAGGAAUUCCGCUUUCCUCUCCCAUACUCGAGCACCCCAGUUUCCGCCGCACCCUCCCAGUUGAGCCGGGAGAUUUCACAACAGACUUAGAGCACCACCUACACACUCUUUACGCCCAGUAAUUCCGAACAACGCUUGCUGCCUACGUAUUACCGCGGCUGCUGGCAC
This 292-nucleotide ribosomal RNA is filed under the name uncultured Acidobacteriota bacterium. RNAcentral describes it as "uncultured Acidobacteria bacterium partial 16S ribosomal RNA". The record is from RNAcentral. Lineage: Bacteria; Pseudomonadati; Acidobacteriota.